UGGAUUUCACUUUGUAUUCUUUCUGUUUAUCCAGGGAGAAAAAUGUAUCAUUAUCAUGGUCCAGGUUCAGAUUGUUUCUGCAUCCUAUGCAUUUUCUGCACUGUGUGAAGCCUCUGAUUGGUGUUAAUUCAGUGUCGUGGAGAUGGGUUUUGGAAUUGUCAGUAGGUGCCAACAUAAGUUUUAGGUUAGGUGCUUGGGAAAAGAUGAUAGUGGGUUGGUCAUCUAAAAGCUGAUU
Molecule: non-coding RNA, 235 nt
Organism: Pelobates cultripes (western spadefoot toad)
Lineage: Eukaryota; Metazoa; Chordata; Amphibia; Anura; Pelobatidae
Source: the annotation of a GenBank genome assembly